Molecule: small nuclear RNA, 100 nt
Filed under: Ailuropoda melanoleuca (giant panda)
Lineage: Eukaryota; Metazoa; Chordata; Mammalia; Carnivora; Ursidae
Source: RNAcentral
GUGCUUACUUUGGCAGCACAUAUGCUAAAAUUGGAAUGAUCUAGAGAAUAUUAGCAUGUGCAAGGAUAACAUGCAAAUUCAUGAAGUGUUCCAUAUUUUU